Molecule: non-coding RNA, 937 nt
Organism: Malus domestica (apple)
Lineage: Eukaryota; Viridiplantae; Streptophyta; Magnoliopsida; Rosales; Rosaceae
Source: RefSeq, a predicted model, not a curated record
AGAUAUUUUGAAUGAAAUUAGUGUUUAACAUUUUCUUUAAACCACAUGGUGACCCCUCCACCUCACCUCCCUCACAUAACCCAAGGUCCCAAAUUGAGACUCCCAAUCCUGUAUCUGACAUUUUCUUUUUUCGUAUCCCAUAAGUCUCUCUCUCUCUCACUUCCUAUCAGCCCAUAAAAAAAUCUUGCCUUGAGAGAAGUUCCUUGAAACACAAAAUCCCAGAAAUCUCUCUCUCUCUCUCUCUCUCUCUCUCUCUCUCUCUCUCUCUCUCUCUCUCUCUCUCUCUCUCUCUUUUCCAGAAACCUCUAGCCAAGCAAUCUCCUCACUCCUCAGCGAAAUUUCCUAAACACACACUCUCUCUCUAGGGUUUUAGGCAUUUUUUUGCCCCUCUCUCUCUCUUCUUCUUUGAAAUCUUAGCACAAACACACCACACCCACACCCCACCGUGACCUCCACCACAGGGGCGCACACUCUGGCGAGCAUUAUCACCACCUGUGGACCGUUCAUCAUCCCUUUCUCACCUCCCGGCAAGCACCCUCAGGCAAUGGGAGGCCUUGUUUAGGCAGUACGAAGCGGAGGAUCCAUCAAACCCGAGCAUGUUUUGGGAUCCGGAGAAAAUGGAUUUUUCAUUUCCGACGACGAAGGCGCAGAUCUUGGGUCUGAGCCUGGAUUGCAGAGAGAGAUUUGGGCAGCUGUGACGACGCAGCCUCGGCUGCCUUUUCGACGACGAAGCCACGACGAUUGUUUCGAUAAUAUUGCGAUAUUUUGACGAUAAUUAGGAGGAUAUGUGGGAAAAUAUCGAUCUCUCUGAAAAAUGAUAAUAUCGGCGAUAUUUCGUCGAUAUUAUCGAUAUUUUAGUCAUUGGUCCUAAUGCAAGACUAAAUUAAUGACAUGUGAAAUUCACAUGCUAAUGAAAUGAAAUUUAUCUUUUCAAUAA